AGUGAACGCUGGCGGUAGGCCUAACACAUGCAAGUCGAACGGCAGCACAGUAAGAGCUUGCUCUUACGGGUGGCGAGUGGCGGACGGGUGAGGAAUACAUCGGAAUCUACUUUUUCGUGGGGGAUAACGUAGGGAAACUUACGCUAAUACCGCAUACGACCUACGGGUGAAAGCAGGGGAUCUUCGGACCUUGCGCGAUUGAAUGAGCCGAUGUCGGAUUAGCUAGUUGGCGGGGUAAAGGCCCACCAAGGCGACGAUCCGUAGCUGGGCUGAGAGGAUGAUCAGCCACACUGGAACUGAGACACGGUCCAGACUCCUACGGGAGGCAGCAGUGGGGAAUAUUGGACAAUGGGCGCAAGCCUGAUCCAGCCAUACCGCGUGGGUGAAGAAGGCCUUCGGGUUGUAAAGCCCUUUUGUUGGGAAAGAAAAGCAGCAGGUUAAUACCCCGCUGUUCUGGCGGUACCCAAAGAAUAAGCACCGGCUAACUUCGUG
RNAcentral lists this ribosomal RNA (492 nucleotides) under uncultured bacterium. RNAcentral describes it as "partial 16S ribosomal RNA". It matches the Rfam family "Bacterial small subunit ribosomal RNA", at positions 29 to 507 of the family's 1533-position model. The record is from RNAcentral.